Non-coding RNA from Vicugna pacos (alpaca), 1608 nucleotides. Lineage: Eukaryota; Metazoa; Chordata; Mammalia; Artiodactyla; Camelidae. The record is from RefSeq and is a predicted model, not a curated record.
CGGGGGUGAGCUCGGAGGAGCGGCGUCCGGCUCCCAUCCCCCGCGCAUCCGCAGCUCUGGAAUGUGCUCGGGGGAGGCGGGGGGCGGCGGGGUGAGAGCCAGGGUGGGGCCACCCCCAGGGAGGGGGCGGACUCGGCUCCCGGGCGGUAAUUCCCCUCGCUGCCGGCAGUGCGGCUUCUUAGCCCCCCGUCCGAGUGUGUCCAGGAUUGGAAGACAGCGGGAGGCGGAAGGGCGGGAAGAAAGUGCUUGUGAAUUUACCUGUUUAUAAGAAAGAAUUUUAAACAUCAUCAAAGAUGUGGGACCGACUUUCGAUUGCCCUGGCUAGUGGCUUGCGGUGAAAAGGCGCUAUUUGAAAUAGGAGUGCCGGCGCGAAAAGCAGGUCACUCCAGGCGGGGUGCAAUGGAGCAAUGCUCUGGUCUUCGUUUUUGGCCUGCAGUCCUCUGGCUGAUUCAAUUUGUGUUCUCUGUGUGGAUCCUCACUUUCUGGUGUUCAGAAAUAAUGCUGGAUUAAAAGAGCAAUAUUUAUGAGCAUUCUGAAACAGCUUCUGAAUACACAAGCAAUGACAUGAACAAGAUAGAAACUUCCAGGAGGUUCUGUAGUCAUCUGGGACCUGCUGCCUUCCAUCCCGCUGUUCCUGGUACUAAUCUAAGAAGUCUGCUCCAGCCCCAGGCACCUGUCUGCACUUUGUGGAGCACGGAGAGAAGAUAGCAUAGCAAAGAGGUCGCUCCCUUCCUUCAAGGAGUUUCACUGGGAGUUUUCACAUGAAAUUUUGACUGACUUAUUAUUACCCAGAACUUUGUGACUUGGCCUGACUACGAGAAGUGGGGAGGUAUAGGAUCUCCUCAUCAAUGUGUCGAACUAAUAACCAGGGUUCUGUUACCAGAAAAGAAGAUAGUAAAUAUUAGGAGAUAUCCAGCAGUUUCUGUCACAUUUUCACAUUGUGUGUUCUUCAGCAGCUGCAAUUGUUUUCAGCAAGAAUGACCAUCCAGGCAUCUAAUGGCUGUAUGAGGAGAAAGAGACCAUCACCUUCAUUCUUGGAAGAGCCUCUUGUUUGUUCUCCUUACCUUGGCCCCCAGAUGUCUAUUCUUACAGAGCAGCCAGAGUGAAAUUUCAAAAAUAUAUCUGACAUUAUCAUUCUUCACCAUAAAACUAUCCAAUGACAUCUCAUCAUGUUUCCAGGGCGGUUGCCCCAGGGUUGUACCCCUGCCUCUCCCUUCAUUAGAAGCCAAUUACUCUUACCCAAGUUUCAGGAGACAGCAGCAAAGAGAAAAACAAAAAUCUAACCUAAUUGGUUAGAACCAACUAGGCCCAAGAUGGCGGAGGAUUUGACUUCCAGUAGACCUUGAACCUAUUUAAACACCCAGGUAAUCCACAGCGGCAAAUGACACACCCACCAGCGCCAUGACAGUUGACGAUUGCCAUGACAACUGGAAAAGCCCUUACAAGGAUGGAAAAGGAGAGUUGCAUCAGUUCUGGGUCCACACCACAUCCCUGUUCUCAGUAACUCAUGAAUAUUCCUCCCACUCUUCCCAGUUCCCUCCCUGUACCUCAACCCUCUUCUGGUGUCUCUGCUCAGAUUGGGUUGCCAAGUUAAUUUGCAGACUAAGU